This is a long non-coding RNA of Pungitius pungitius (ninespine stickleback), 179 nucleotides long. RefSeq lists it as uncharacterized. The transcript has 3 exons. Lineage: Eukaryota; Metazoa; Chordata; Actinopteri; Perciformes; Gasterosteidae. The record is from RefSeq and is a predicted model, not a curated record.
CUGCAUGAUUCACUCAUAGAGCUCCAUCUCGACAUCGCACGUCUGGAUGAGGCCGCAAAACCACUCCCAACCCGACACGUGAAGACGUAAUCAUCUUCUGUUCGAUCGACAGAACCGAAGCACAAAGAUUGGAUUUUCAUGUCUCCAAAAUCAUUUGACUCAAGGGUCGUAACGUCAAC